GCCUGCGUAGCUCAGGGGCAGAGCACGUCAUUGGUAAUGACGAGGUCGCCGGUUCAAUUCCGGCCGUAGGCU
RNAcentral lists this transfer RNA (72 nucleotides) under PVC group bacterium (ex Bugula neritina AB1). Its description in RNAcentral is "tRNA-Thr". It matches the Rfam family "tRNA". From Rfam's summary of the family: Transfer RNA (tRNA) molecules are approximately 80 nucleotides in length. Their secondary structure includes four short double-helical elements and three loops (D, anti-codon, and T loops). Further hydrogen bonds mediate the characteristic L-shaped molecular structure. tRNAs have two regions of fundamental functional importance: the anti-codon, which is responsible for specific mRNA codon recognition, and the 3' end, to which the tRNAs corresponding amino acid is attached (by aminoacyl-tRNA synthetases). tRNAs cope with the degeneracy of the genetic code in two manners: having more than one tRNA (with a specific anti-codon) for a particular amino acid; and 'wobble' base-pairing, i.e. permitting non-standard base-pairing at the 3rd anti-codon position. Lineage: Bacteria; Pseudomonadati. The record is from RNAcentral.